RNAcentral lists this ribosomal RNA (198 nucleotides) under uncultured bacterium. Its description in RNAcentral is "partial 16S ribosomal RNA". It matches the Rfam family "Bacterial small subunit ribosomal RNA", at positions 335 to 524 of the family's 1533-position model. The record is from RNAcentral.
AAUCCUACGGGAGGCAGCAGUGGGGAAUUUUGCGCAAUGGGGGAAACCCUGACGCAGCGACNCCGUGUGAGGGAAGAAGGCUUUCGGGUCGUAAACCUCUGUCGGGAGGGAAGAACCUUCCAGGUCUGAACAAGGUCUGGAAAUGACGGUACCUCCAAAGGAAGCACCGGCUAACUCCGUGCCAGCAGCCGCGGUAAU